CCUACGGGUGGCAGCAGUGAGGAAUAUUGGUCAAUGGGCGGAAGUCUGAACCAGCCAAGUAGCGUGCAGGAUGACUGCCCUAUGGGUUGUAAACUUCUUUUAUACGGGAAUAAAGUUCCGUAUGUGUACUGUUUUGUAUGUACCGUAUGAAUAAGGAUCGGCUAAUUCCGUGCCAGCAGCCGCGGUAAUACGGAGGGUCCGAGCGUUAUCCGGAUUUAUUGGGUUUAAAGGGAGCGUAGGCGGCAGGUCAAGUGUGUUGUGAAAGGUCCGGGCUCAACCCGGGCCUUGCAGCGCGAACUGGCGGGCUUGAGUCCGCGGAAGGAAGGCGGAAUUCGUCGUGUAGCGGUGAAAUGCUUAGAUAUGACGAAGAACUCCGAUUGCGAAGGCAGCUUGCUGCAGCGGAACUGACGCUGAUGCUCGAAAGCGCGGGUAUCGAACAGGAUUAGAUACCCUUGUAGUC
This 460-nucleotide ribosomal RNA is filed under the name uncultured bacterium. RNAcentral describes it as "partial 16S ribosomal RNA". It matches the Rfam family "Bacterial small subunit ribosomal RNA", at positions 338 to 795 of the family's 1533-position model. The record is from RNAcentral.